Molecule: transfer RNA, 73 nt
Filed under: Limulus polyphemus (Atlantic horseshoe crab)
Lineage: Eukaryota; Metazoa; Arthropoda; Merostomata; Xiphosura; Limulidae
Description: tRNA-Val
Rfam family: tRNA
About the family: Transfer RNA (tRNA) molecules are approximately 80 nucleotides in length. Their secondary structure includes four short double-helical elements and three loops (D, anti-codon, and T loops).
Source: RNAcentral
GUGCUUGUGGUGUAGUGGCUAUCAUAUCCGCCUAACACGCGGAAGGUCCCAGGUUCAAGCCCUGGCAGGCACA